AGCAGAGAUGCUUUAGUGCCUUCGGGAACUCUGAGACAGGUGCUGCAUGGCUGUCGUCAGCUCGUGUUGUGAAAUGUUGGGUUAAGUCCCGCAACGAGCGCAACCCUAUCCUUUGUUGCCAGCGAUUCGGUCGGGAACUCAAAGGAGACUGCCGGUGAUAAACCGGAGGAAGGUGGGGAUGACGUCAAGUCAUCAUGGCCCUUACGAGUAGGGCUACACACGUGCUACAAUGGCGCAUACAAAGAGAAGCGACCUCGCGAGAGCAAGCGGACCUCAUAAAGUGCGUCGUAGUCCGGAUUGGAGUCUGCAACUCGACUCCAUGAAGUCGGAAUCGCUAGUAAUCGUAGAUCAGAAUGCUACGGUGAAUACGUUCCCGGGCCUUGUACACACCGCCCGUCACACCAUGGGAGUGGGUUGCAAAAGAAGUAGAUAGCUUAACCUUCGGGAGGGCGUUUACCACUUUGUGAUUCAUGACUGGGGUGAAGUCGUAACAAGGUAGGCGUAGCGAG
RNAcentral lists this ribosomal RNA (509 nucleotides) under uncultured bacterium. RNAcentral's name for it is "bacterial SSU rRNA". It matches the Rfam family "Bacterial small subunit ribosomal RNA", at positions 999 to 1509 of the family's 1533-position model. The record is from RNAcentral.